GAUCCUGGCUCAGGAUGAACGCUGGCGGCGUGCCUAACACAUGCAAGUCGAGCGAAGCACUUUGCUUAGAUUCUUCGGAUGAAGAGGAUUGUGACUGAGCGGCGGACGGGUGAGUAACGCGUGGGUAACCUGCCUCAUACAGGGGGAUAACAGUUAGAAAUGACUGCUAAUACCGCAUAAGACCACAGCACCGCAUGGUGCGGGGGUAAAACGUACCGUGGUAGUNAGAUGGACCCGCCG
RNAcentral lists this ribosomal RNA (240 nucleotides) under uncultured bacterium. RNAcentral's name for it is "partial 16S ribosomal RNA". It matches the Rfam family "Bacterial small subunit ribosomal RNA", at positions 15 to 235 of the family's 1533-position model. The record is from RNAcentral.